Molecule: ribosomal RNA, 503 nt
Filed under: uncultured bacterium
Lineage: Bacteria
Description: bacterial SSU rRNA
Rfam family: Bacterial small subunit ribosomal RNA
Source: RNAcentral
GAUGAACGCUAGCUACAGGCUUAACACAUGCAAGUCGAGGGGAAACGAUAUUGGAAGCUUGCUUCCGAUAGGCGUCGACCGGCGCACGGGUGAGUAACGCGUAUCCAACCUGCCCAUCACUUGGGAAUAACCUUGCGAAAGUAAGACUAAUGCCCAAUGACAUUUAUAGAAGGCAUCUGAAAUGAAUUAAAGAUUUAUCGGUGAUGGAUGGGGAUGCGUCUGAUUAGCUUGUUGGCGGGGUAACGGCCCACCAAGGCGACGAUCAGUAGGGGUUCUGAGAGGAAGGUCCCCCACAUUGGAACUGAGACACGGUCCAAACUCCUACGGGAGGCAGCAGUGAGGAAUAUUGGUCAAUGGACGUAAGUCUGAACCAGCCAAGUAGCGUGCAGGAUGACGGCCCUAUGGGUUGUAAACUGCUUUUAUGCGGGGAUAAAGUUGGGGACGUGUCCCUUUUUGCAGGUACCGCAUGAAUAAGGACCGGCUAAUUCCGUGCCAGCAGCCGC